GGGUUAAAAGUUUUUCGGGGCUUCGGCUCGACUCUCCCACCCUUUGUGAACGUACCUCUGUUGCUUUGGCGGCUUCGGCCGCCAAAGGACCUUCAAACUCCAGUCAGUAAACGCAGACGUCUGAUAAACAAGUUAAUAAACUAAAACUUUCAACAACGGAUCUCUUGGUUCUGGCAUCGAUGAAGAACGCAGCGAAAUGCGAUAAGUAAUGUGAAUUGCAGAAUUCAGUGAAUCAUCGAAUCUUUGAACGCACAUUGCGCCCCUUGGUAUUCCGGGGGGCAUGCCUGUUCGAGCGUCAUUACAACCCUCAAGCUCUGCUUGGAAUUGGGCACCGUCCUCACUGCGGACGCGCCUCAAAGACCUCGGCGGUGGCUGUUCAGCCCUCAAGCGUAGUAGAAUACACCUCGCUUUGGAGCGGUUGGCGUCGCCCGCCGGACGAACCUUCUGAACUUUUCUCAAGGUUGACCUCGGAUCAGGUAGGGAUACCCGCUGAACUUAAGCAUAUCAAAAAGCCGGAAGGAAACCUCGAAACUAGGCUCGCCCCCUCCCUG
RNAcentral lists this ribosomal RNA (551 nucleotides) under Lasiodiplodia theobromae. Its description in RNAcentral is "eukaryotic LSU rRNA". The stretch from base 145 to 298 matches the Rfam family "5.8S ribosomal RNA". The record is from RNAcentral. Lineage: Eukaryota; Fungi; Ascomycota; Dothideomycetes; Botryosphaeriales; Botryosphaeriaceae.